CAUGCAAGUCGAACGCUCCGCAAGGGGAGUGGCAGACGGGUGAGUAACACGUGGGAAUCUUCCUAUCGGUACGGAAUAGCUCAGGGAAACUUGGGGUAAUACCGCAUACGCCCGCAAGGGGAAAGAUUUAUCGCCGAUAGAUGAGCCCGCGUCUGAUUAGCUAGUUGGUGAGGUAAUGGCUCACCAAGGCGACGAUCAGUAGCUGGUUUGAGAGAAUGACCAGCCACACUGGGACUGAGACACGGCCCAGACUCCUACGGGAGGCAGCAGUGGGGAAUAUUGGACAAUGGGCGCAAGCCUGAUCCAGCCAUGCCGCGUGAGUGACGAAGGUCUUCGGAUUGUAAAGCUCUUUUAGCAGGGAAGAUAAUGACGGUACCUGCAGAAUAAGCCCCGGCUAACUUCGUGCCAGCAGCCACGGUAAUACGAAGGGGGCUAGCGUUGUUCGGAAUUACUGGGCGUAAAGCGCACGUAGGCGGAUUGAUAAGUUAGGGGUGAAAUCCCGGGGCUCAACCUCG
RNAcentral lists this ribosomal RNA (515 nucleotides) under uncultured bacterium. RNAcentral describes it as "bacterial SSU rRNA". It matches the Rfam family "Bacterial small subunit ribosomal RNA", at positions 54 to 617 of the family's 1533-position model. The record is from RNAcentral.